CGGGGAAUAUUGGACAAUGGGCGCAAGCCUGAUCCAGCAACGCCGCGUGGGGGAUGAAGGUCCUCGGAUUGUAAACCCCUGUUGAGAGGGGCGAAGGCUUUCGGGCGAAUAGUCCGGAAGCUUGACGGUACCUCUAUAGAAAGCCCCGGCUAACUCUGUGCCAGCAGCCGCGGUAAUACAGAGGGGGCAAGCGUUAUUCGGAAUCAUUGGGCGUAAAGGGCGCGUAGGCGGCCACGCAAGUCUUGGGUGAAAUCCCUCGGUCUCAACCGAGGAACUGCCCCGGAAACUGCAUGGCUUGAGGCCGGGAGAGGAUGGUGAAAUUUCCCAGUGUAGCGGUGAAAUGCGUAGAUAUUGGGAGGAACACCAGUGGCGAAGGCGGCCAUCUGGACCGGUCCUGACGCUGAGGCGCGAAAGCGUGGGGAGCAAACAGGAUUAGAUACCCUGGUAGUCCACGCCCUAAACGAUGGGUACUCGGUGUCGCGGGUAUCGACCCCUGCGGUGCCUUAGCUAA
Molecule: ribosomal RNA, 511 nt
Filed under: uncultured Acidobacteriota bacterium
Lineage: Bacteria; Pseudomonadati; Acidobacteriota
Description: bacterial SSU rRNA
Rfam family: Bacterial small subunit ribosomal RNA
Source: RNAcentral